GUGGGGAAUAUUGGACAAUGGGCGCAAGCCUGAUCCAGCCAUGCCGCGUGAGUGAUGAAGGCCUUAGGGUUGUAAAGCUCUUUCAGUGGGGACGAUAAUGACGGUACCCACAGAAGAAGCCCCGGCUAACUUCGUGCCAGCAGCCGCGGUAAUACGAAGGGGGCUAGCGUUGUUCGGAUUUACUGGGCGUAAAGCGCACGUAGGCGGAUCGUUAAGUCGGGGGUGAAAUCCUGGAGCUCAACUCCAGAACUGCCUUCGAUACUGGCGAUCUUGAGUCCGGAAGAGGUGAGUGGAACUCCGAGUGUAGAGGUGGAAUUCGUAGAUAUUAGGAAGAACACCAGUGGCGAAGGCGGCUCACUGGUCCGGUACUGACGCUGAGGUGCGAAAGCGUGGGGAGCAAACAGGAUUAGAUACCCUAGUAGUCC
Molecule: ribosomal RNA, 425 nt
Filed under: uncultured bacterium
Lineage: Bacteria
Description: partial 16S ribosomal RNA
Rfam family: Bacterial small subunit ribosomal RNA
Source: RNAcentral